This 1939-nucleotide long non-coding RNA is filed under the name Homo sapiens (human). RNAcentral's name for it is "HSALNT0309165". Lineage: Eukaryota; Metazoa; Chordata; Mammalia; Primates; Hominidae. The record is from RNAcentral.
AUGGCAAGUAUCCAGAGACUACAAGAAGUAGUCAAGAAAUUACUGUUCCAAGAAAAUGCCCCUGGUAAAAAGAAAUCCAUCUGAAUCUCCAGUCUGCAACACCUUCAAAUGAUUUAAAUAUUGUCUUUUAUAAUGAAAGUUAUGUACUGCCAAUAUCAGGAAGGCAUGACAUAGUCUAGGCAAUAUGUGAUUGGAAAUAGUAACAAGGUUAAAUAAUAAAGCAACUUUUGCUGAUUCAUAGCUCAUUAUGUUAUGAAAUUAUAAGGCAUUAGAAGUUAUAGAGCAAAUGGCAAACAUUUGCUUUGGAGAAAAUGCAUAUCAUUUUCUCGUUUCUUCAGUCUGAUUCUGUAGGUAGACAGUUCCAACUGCUGAGCUUGGCACUGGUAAUUUGAUUCGUUUUAAGCCAAGUGAAACAGACAGAGGGUAGCUAAAUUGACUUUUAAAAAUAAUAAUUUACUCUGUUACAUUCACAAAAUUUCACACUUUCCAAGAGUGAUAAUAGUUGUUCACUGGAAAAGAUUCAUAUGGACCUAGGGCAGAGAGAAACAGGAUACUUUUCACUUGAAGCAAGACACUGGAAAUGCAUUAACAUGAAAACCAGCAGCAGGAGAUGCUCCUGGAAAAAAAAAUAUGUUAAUGCAGCUGGUGGGUACAAUGAAUUUUUAUGUUGACAGUCCUCACUGCUUAGUGAUUCCAAGUACUGAAGAUUAGAAAUAGCUGAAAGGUUUGCGAUUCCCAGUCCUGGCAGAAUUGAUGGAAAGAGAACUUUUUGAAUAAAAAAGGAAAGGAACAUUAAACUAAUCAGGGGGAAAGAUACAAAAAAACACCUAUAAUUAAUUUAUAGGUUAUUAAUUUGUCACUUUGGGCUGUGAAAGCAUUUGUAUACUUCCAUAUCCUACGAGUCUAUUGUGAAAAAAGAUGUGUUCUGUUUAAAUUACACAGCUCAAUUUGCUGAGAAAGCAUUAGCAGUGGACCUUCACAAAAAUGAAUCCAAUCUUUAAGGGUCUCUCUAAUGUGUUGCUCCCUCUUUCAGUCAUCGGUAAUUUUACAACAUUUCAAUGGAUAGUGCUGGAAUCAAGGCCAAUGGAAUAUUUGCCAGAAGUACUAGGGAAAAGCACAGUAAUUAAGGCAACAUAGUAAUUCACCUCAAUUAAGAGGAACCUCCAGGACAAAGCUGAUUUUCUGAUUUGCAGCAGUCAGUUGCUUCUACCCUUUGGGAAAGUGUUCAUCAAAUCUGCAUCGCCAGUGUCACCAGCAGCACCCUUCAUGUAGCUUAGCAUUUGUUUUCCAGGCUUUCUGUCACUAAUCAGUUACAUAAACCUUCUUGUGCAUUUCAUUCCAGACUACCAAAAUCUCCAUCUGGAAAGAAAGUUUAUUUUUGGCUAAUUCAUUUGUAUUUUUAUUUUUACAGUUUUUCUACUAUAGUCUCUAGGCUACAUGUAUUUUCAACUCUCCAAAAUACUUUCUGGAGAAUUUCAGUAAAAAGAGAAACAAAGAAACAUGUUAACAUGAUCAUGCCAUUACUGACAAAAGGUCUACAAUGAAAGGGAAUAAUCACUUGUAAAAUACUAUUAAACCCAGAUUUUCCAGUAAAAAGUAAGAGAUGUCUAUACUAUCACACGAGGUAAGACAAGCAAGGAGUUGCUGCAUGGCUGCUACAUUCAACAAGCCUUUGGCAUUCCAAAUUCUAGAACUCUCCAUCUCCUACUCACCUCUACGUGUUUCCACACUGCGGGAAAAUCCUUGGGCUGGUUGAUGGUGAUGAAAGUUCAAUCUACAGCUGGAGUGGGAGACAGAGGGAUCCAGACUGACCAAACCAUCAUCUUCAACACGUGGCUCUGGGGGUUAUCCUGGGAUCCUGGGAGACAACAUCCAGCUGACACUAAAAUUUAGUCAUGAGGCCUUACCUAGAUGCAAGGAAGUUGGGAAUGGACACACA